UCCAAAUCAGCUGUUGUAUGCAAUGACAAAAAUCUGAAAAUUUGCAAAUCCAAUACCAAAAUCUGAAGAAUUCAUCUGUUUUUAGUUCUGAUUCACCUUCUCAUGAGGAGAAGAAGCAUCUUCUUCAUUUUAAUGUGAACAAGAGGGGCAGCUGGUGCUGGGGAGAUGGCUGGCAGUCAGCUGAUGAUGCUGGAAAUCAUAAUCUUGGAUAAGGACAAGGCAUCCGUACAAAUGGAAGCUCGGCAGUAUCAGAGGAAAUGGACUUUGUACAAGAAAUUCUUAUGCCAAGAGAAAAGGAGAAACUUUUUUUAGAAAGGGAAGUUGAAGCAUACAGGGUAAUGGUUUCAAGAAGGAAAAGAGAAACUUAGCUUCUGAUACGAGAAUAUCUCUACGAAUAUCCCAUAUAUCUACUAUUUAGUUUAGUAUUGAUUUAGCAUAUCUUUCCAUAUAUUCUUAGUAUCUUUAUUUCUUAUUCCCUAAGUCAGAGUAGUCUUAUAAAUUGGAGAUAUUCUUCUAUUUCAAUCAAGAAAUAUGAAAUUAUCUUUUUAGCUUU
Long non-coding RNA from Salvia splendens (bonfire salvia), 553 nucleotides. RefSeq lists it as uncharacterized. The transcript has 2 exons. The record is from RefSeq and is a predicted model, not a curated record. NCBI's taxonomy places the organism in Eukaryota, Viridiplantae, Streptophyta, Magnoliopsida, Lamiales, Lamiaceae.